GUCAUGAUGGCCGAGCGGUCCAAGGCGCUGCGUUCAGGUCGCAGUCCGGUCUUCCGGGCGUGGGUUCGAAUCCCACUUCUGACA
Molecule: transfer RNA, 84 nt
Filed under: Rhipicephalus microplus (southern cattle tick)
Lineage: Eukaryota; Metazoa; Arthropoda; Arachnida; Ixodida; Ixodidae
Description: tRNA-Leu
Rfam family: tRNA
About the family: Transfer RNA (tRNA) molecules are approximately 80 nucleotides in length.
Source: Rfam by way of RNAcentral